AUUGAAAGAAUGGAAUAGAAUUGAAAGUUACUUGGUAAGAACCACACUAAAGUCUAUGAGUAAAGGUGGAUACGAUAAGCAAUGGGCCAAGCGUCCUGCACCGAAAGAUAUCCAGAAUGAGAGUAGGAAAGCUCCAGUCUCAUUCCUUUACUACUUAAGGCUCGUGACAUGUAAUUCUCGUCCUAACUUUCAAGUUGCUGGAGAAGAGUCUUUGUUGUUG
Molecule: long non-coding RNA, 220 nt
Filed under: Lathyrus oleraceus (garden pea)
Lineage: Eukaryota; Viridiplantae; Streptophyta; Magnoliopsida; Fabales; Fabaceae
Description: Pisum sativum (pea) long non-coding RNA (PSAT_LNC029830)
Source: RNAcentral